This 584-nucleotide ribosomal RNA is filed under the name uncultured bacterium. RNAcentral's name for it is "partial 16S ribosomal RNA". It matches the Rfam family "Bacterial small subunit ribosomal RNA", at positions 355 to 1375 of the family's 1533-position model. The record is from RNAcentral.
UGGGGAAUUUUGGACAAUGGGCGAAAGCCUGAUCCAGCAAUGCCGCGUGUGUGAAGAAGGCCUUCGGGUUGUAAAGCACUUUUGUCCGGAAAGAAAUCCUCUGGGUUAAUACCUCGGGGGAGUGACGGUACCCGGAAGAAUAAGCACCGGCUAACUACGUGCCAGCAGCCGCGGUAAUACGUAGGGUGCAAGCGUUAAUCGGAAUUACUGGGCGUAAAGCGUGCGCAGGCGGUUUUGUAAGACGGAUGUGAAAUCCCCGGGCUUAACCUGGGAACUGCAUUCGUGACUGCAAGGCUAGAGUAUGGCAGAGGGGGUAGAAUUCCACGUGUAGCAGUGAAAUGCGUAGAGAUGUGGAGGAAUACCGAUGGCGAAGGCAGCCCCUGGGCCAAUACUGACGCUCAUGCACGAAAGCGUGGGGAGCAAACAGGAUUAGAUACCCUGGUAGUCCACGCCCUAAACGAUGUCAACUAGUUGUUGGGGAUUCAUUUCCUUAGUAACGUAGCUAACGCGUGAAGUUGACCGCCUGGGGAGUACGGUCGCAAGAUUAAAACUCAAAGGAAUUGACGGGGUCAUAGCUGUUUCCU